AGCAGUCGCCACGGGAAUACGGAGGGUGCAAGCGUUAUCCGGAUUUAUUGGGUUUAAAGGGUCCGUAGGCGGACUUAUAAGUCAGUGGUGAAAGCCUGUCGCUUAACGAUAGAACUGCCAUUGAUACUGUAAGUCUUGAGUAUAUUUGAGGUAGCUGGAAUAAGUAGUGUAGCGGUGAAAUGCAUAGAUAUUACUUAGAACACCAAUUGCGAAGGCAGGUUACCAAGAUAUAACUGACGCUGAGGGACGAAAGCGUGUGUAGCGAACAGGAUUAGAUACCCGGGUAGUCCCUGUCUCUUAUAC
This 303-nucleotide ribosomal RNA is filed under the name uncultured bacterium. Its description in RNAcentral is "partial 16S ribosomal RNA". It matches the Rfam family "Bacterial small subunit ribosomal RNA", at positions 507 to 807 of the family's 1533-position model. The record is from RNAcentral.